Molecule: ribosomal RNA, 307 nt
Filed under: Draconarius sp. CL052
Lineage: Eukaryota; Metazoa; Arthropoda; Arachnida; Araneae; Agelenidae
Description: partial 12S ribosomal RNA
Source: RNAcentral
AAACUAAUUUAGUUUGACGGCAUUUCAUUUAAUUAGAGGAAUUUGUCCUUUAAUCGAUAAUCCACGUUAAAUUUAACUAUAAUCUAAAAUUUAUAUACCGCCAUCUUAAGAAUUAAUUUAAAAAUCUUUCUCUAAAAAAUAAAUAAAAAGUUAGGUCAAGGUAUAAUUAACAUUAAAGAAUGAGAUGAAUUACAUUAAAUACAAUAUAAAGAAAAUUCAUUAAUACAUUUAUAUAAAUAAGAAUUUAAAAGUAAUAUUAAAAUAAUAAUGUAAUAUGAUAUAAACAAUAAAUGUGUACACAUCGCCC